CCUACGGGGGGCAGCAGUGGGGAAUAUUGCACAAUGGGCGCAAGCCUGAUGCAGCCAUGCCGCGUGUGUGAAGAAGGCCUUCGGGUUGUAAAGCACUUUCAGCGGGGAGGAAGGCGGUGAGGUUAAUAACCUCAUCGAUUGACGUUACCCGCAGAAGAAGCACCGGCUAACUCCGUGCCAGCAGCCGCGGUAAUACGGAGGGUGCAAGCGUUAAUCGGAAUUACUGGGCGUAAAGCGCACGCAGGCGGUCUGUCAGGUCGGAUGUGAAAUCCCCGGGCUCAACCUGGGAACUGCAUUCGAAACCGGCAGGCUAGAGUCUUGUAGAGGGGGGUAGAAUUCCAGGUGUAGCGGUGAAAUGCGUAGAGAUCUGGAGGAAUACCGGUGGCGAAGGCGGCCCCCUGGACAAAGACUGACGCUCAGGUGCGAAAGCGUGGGGAGCAAACAGGAUUAGAUACCCGAGUAGUC
RNAcentral lists this ribosomal RNA (465 nucleotides) under uncultured Klebsiella sp. RNAcentral's name for it is "bacterial SSU rRNA". It matches the Rfam family "Bacterial small subunit ribosomal RNA", at positions 338 to 795 of the family's 1533-position model. Lineage: Bacteria; Pseudomonadati; Pseudomonadota; Gammaproteobacteria; Enterobacterales; Enterobacteriaceae. The record is from RNAcentral.